CAGUGUGGCUCUCUUUGACUCCAAGAACAACCCCAUCGCUAUUCUCAAAGAUAUCGAGAUCUACAAGCACCCUAAAGAAGAAAGGAUUGCUAGAACGUGGGGCACCACUGCCCCGGGGCUCCCUUAUGUUGAUCAAGCUAUAACCAAUGCUGGUAACUGGCUGAUAGGAGGCGACUUAGAGGUUAUAGAGCCAAUCAAGUACAAUGAUGGCCUUGACCGUUUUCGACAGUCACCUGCAGAGCUACGGGAGG
This 251-nucleotide unclassified non-coding RNA is filed under the name Hevea brasiliensis (rubber tree). The record is from RNAcentral. Lineage: Eukaryota; Viridiplantae; Streptophyta; Magnoliopsida; Malpighiales; Euphorbiaceae.